CGUGUAUGAUCUGGGAGGCAAUUCUAAGAGAAAAGUGGAAAAAUGUCUUGUUCCAUCCUCCUGCUCUCUGGCCAAUUACUGGGAAGAUUGUGUUCCUUUAGGGGACCAGACACAACCUGCUUGGUCUUCUAGCCGCUGUGGGGCACCAGCGAGGGCCUUUGAACACCCCCUGUUGGAACUGGACCCCAUUUCCACAUAAUUGGCUCGAGCCAACUCCUUUGUGUAUCAGGAGAGCUGCUUGGGCAGGGAUGGUCUCUGCAGAGCUGUUUAGAUUAGAAUAGUUAGGUCUAGACUUAUCCAGAAGCCAGGUCUUCUCACUGCAGCCUCCCCUACUGUCUUUUCAGAAAUAAAGCGAACCGCACAGUGAUGGAUCAGAUAGUCAUUAAAGCACGGACUCUCGAGUUGGGGUGGCCGGGUGACUCUUACUACCUGGGGUGUCUCUUACUACCUGUAUGAACUGGGAAAGCCUCAUAACCACCCUUUGUCUCAGUUUCCUUAUUUGUAGAGUGGGAAUAUCAGUGGUGCUCACCAUAGAGGAUUCUCCUGAGGGACAAGUGAGUUAAGACACAAAAGCACUGAGAAGAGUUCCUGGUGCCUGGGAGGGCCCCGCAGUUGUCUCCCACCACCGCCAUCAUCACUCUGCGACUGCAUGGAACAGAUGGAGAGUCGGAGGCUAUCGAAGAUGCAGCUACAAGAUGGCGGGGACUCCGGUUAGCCUGGGCCCUGCAGCGACUGCGUGGAGCAUGACCACACUGACUCUUUCUCCAUACGUGGCAUGAACAAGAAAUGAACUUUUGUGGUGUGAAGCCCCUGAAAUCCAGGAGUUGUCACCACAGCACAGCUGAGUCCAGUCGUUCUCGGUCUGGUCCCCUUGCUCGGGGACUGUUAGAAAUGCAGAUUCUCAGGCUCCGCACCACACACAGCGAGUCAGAGACUGAGGGUGGGGCUAGCAAUCUGGGUUUUAACAGCUCCCCAGGAGAUUCUGACACAGGUCAAGUUUGAGAGCCAUGCUCUAACCUAUCCCGAAUGCUUUCUCCCCCCAGGCACACGGGGACUUUGCCCCCAUGGGCGGCCACUGCUUGGGAUGAUCCGUUCUGCUUUACACCUUUCCAUUGGUCGAGAUACUUAAGCCCCAGCUACCUCAGAAUGGUGAGCAUCGAACAUGUCAAGGCCUCGGGUAUCUGCCUGAUGUCAACAAAUCACCUGGAAAUGGGUUCCCUGUUGCUUUAAGAAGACCCUGUCAGAAGCAAUGAAUUCUUUGACAGGACUUGAGGAAUGCAGACAUGACAUCCUUACCAGAAAAUUACCACCAGGCCCACUGCCCGUACUCUGAGACGAGGGGUGAACUGAUUUCUUGUGGAG
Long non-coding RNA from Lutra lutra (Eurasian river otter), 1362 nucleotides. RefSeq lists it as uncharacterized. NCBI's taxonomy places the organism in Eukaryota, Metazoa, Chordata, Mammalia, Carnivora, Mustelidae. The transcript is spliced from 4 exons. The record is from RefSeq and is a predicted model, not a curated record.